AUUGGACUACCUGGUUGGUGACAGCCUUUCUCUAGUGCUCUGAUCUGACUCUCUUUCGACUUGGGGUGACUGUCGUGAAGGUGCCGUAAACCGGCCUUGUAGCCGGAAACGAAUCCUCACUUUGUUGCCCCUUCUGGUAACUCCAGGUCGAACACUGGGGCUCGCACGGUCAGGUGGUCCACCC
Molecule: non-coding RNA, 184 nt
Organism: Synechococcus sp. MIT S9508
Lineage: Bacteria; Bacillati; Cyanobacteriota; Cyanophyceae; Synechococcales; Synechococcaceae
Source: Rfam